UAGAUCAAUGUAUGGAAGUUUAGAAAAAGACUUCAUAUCAAUAACAAGGAACACAAUCUUAUAUUUCAUAAUAAAAUAACAAUGAAUGAAUGCAUUCAUAACAUAACAGAAUUGUUUUCUUUCAGGUCCAUAGACUCCCUAUCACUGGAUGAUCAAAGCAGGUGUUCUACUAGAGAGAAGAUAAAAAUGUGGAUUGUGUGCAGCAUUCGGCAGGGACAGAGGACACUAAUAUCAAUGCCAAGGAAGUCACUGCAGGAACAAUGAUCUGAGGAGACCCAACAGUUUUAAGGCAAGUCUUUGAAGGGCCCCUCUGUGUGGAAGCCUCAGAUCUGAUUUGACUGGUUUGCUGCAACCCUGAUGAGUUGAGAUUCUUUGAAGUGAGAGGUCUGCAACUUAACUCUUCCUGAUAACUUUUUCCUCUGACCAACUUUCUUAUCUUAUUGUGGCAAUGAAGAUAAAUCCAGUUUAGUUUGUUUUGAGGAGCAAUAACAGCACUCCCUACUUCAUCUCCUCUACACACAAAUUUACACAGCCUUUCUAAAGAUGCAUACCUGGGCAACUCGAG
This 565-nucleotide long non-coding RNA is filed under the name Homo sapiens (human). Its description in RNAcentral is "HSALNT0058115". Lineage: Eukaryota; Metazoa; Chordata; Mammalia; Primates; Hominidae. The record is from RNAcentral.